AACCCUUGACAUCCUGUGCUAACCCGAGAGAUCGGGCGUUCACUUCGGUGACGCAGUGACAGGUGCUGCAUGGCUGUCGUCAGCUCGUGUCGUGAGAUGUUCGGUUAAGUCCGGCAACGAGCGCAACCCACAUCCUUAGUUGCCAGCAGUUCGGCUGGGCACUCUAAGGAAACUGCCCGUGAUAAGCGGGAGGAAGGUGUGGAUGACGUCAAGUCCUCAUGGCCCUUACGGGUUGGGCUACACACGUGCUACAAUGGGGGGUACAAAGAGCAGCCAACUGGCAACAGUGCGCGAAUCUCAUAAAACCUCUCGUAGUCCGGAUCGGAGUCUGCAACUCGACUCCGUGAAGUCGGAAUCGCUAGUAAUCGUGAAUCAGAAUGUCACGGUGAAUACGUUCCCGGGCCU
Molecule: ribosomal RNA, 405 nt
Filed under: uncultured bacterium
Lineage: Bacteria
Description: bacterial SSU rRNA
Rfam family: Bacterial small subunit ribosomal RNA
Source: RNAcentral